CUUGGGCUGCCAACGUGCUACAAUGGCCGGUACAAUGGGCUUGCGAUACCCUACGGUGGAGCGAAUCCCUAAAAGCCGGUCUCUUUUCAGAUUGGAUUCGGCAUCUCGUGCCUGUGAAUGUGGAGUCUCUCUUAAUCUCGCAAUAUCCAUGCCGCCGCGAAAACUUUCCCGGCGCUUCUUUACACCGCCCGUCUCACCAUGAAUUUCGUUACCCCCCAAAACUUGCGGCCUAACCCUUGUGGGAGGGAGUCAGUG
Molecule: ribosomal RNA, 255 nt
Filed under: Nocardiopsis valliformis
Lineage: Bacteria; Bacillati; Actinomycetota; Actinomycetes; Streptosporangiales; Nocardiopsidaceae
Description: partial 16S ribosomal RNA
Rfam family: Bacterial small subunit ribosomal RNA
Source: RNAcentral